CCUACGGGAGGCAGCAGUGGGGAAUAUUGGACAAUGGGCGAAAGCCUGAUCCAGCAAUGCCGCGUGAGUGAUGAAGGCCUUAGGGUUGUAAAGCUCUUUUACCAGGGAUGAUAAUGACAGUACCUGGAGAAUAAGCUCCGGCUAACUCCGUGCCAGCAGCCGCGGUAAUACGGAGGGAGCUAGCGUUGUUCGGAAUUACUGGGCGUAAAGCGUACGUAGGCGGUUAUUCAAGUCAGAGGUGAAAGCCUGGAGCUCAACUCCAGAACUGCCUUUGAAACUAGAUAGCUAGAAUCUUGGAGAGGUGAGUGGAAUUCCGAGUGUAGAGGUGAAAUUCGUAGAUAUUCGGAAGAACGCCAGUGGCGAAGGCGACUCACUGGACAAGUAUUGACGCUGAGGUACGAAAGCGUGGGGAGCAAACAGGAUUAGACACCCUGGUAGUCCACGCCGUAAACGAUGAUAACUAGCUGUUCGGGCUCUACGAGCUUGAGUGGCGCAGCUAACGCAUUAAGUUAUCCGCCUGGGGAUACGGUCGCAAGNUUAAAACUCAAAAUGAAUUGACGG
This 561-nucleotide ribosomal RNA is filed under the name uncultured bacterium. Its description in RNAcentral is "bacterial SSU rRNA". It matches the Rfam family "Bacterial small subunit ribosomal RNA", at positions 338 to 916 of the family's 1533-position model. The record is from RNAcentral.